GACGAACGCUGGCGGCGUGCCUAAUACAUGCAAGUCGAGCGAGCGGAACUAACAGAUUUACUUCGGUAAUGACGUUAGGAAAGCGAGCGGCGGAUGGGUGAGUAACACGUGGGGAACCUGCCCCAUAGUCUGGGAUACCACUUGGAAACAGGUGCUAAUACCGGAUAAGAAAGCAGAUCGCAUGAUCAGCUUUUAAAAGGCGGCGUAAGCUGUCGCUAUGGGAUGGCCCCGCGGUGCAUUAGCUAGUUGGUAAGGUAAAGGCUUACCAAGGCGAUGAUGCAUAGCCGAGUUGAGAGACUGAUCGGCCACAUUGGGACUGAAACACGGCCCAAACUCCUACGGGAGGCAGCAGUAGGGAAUCUUCCACAAUGGACGCAAGUCUGAUGGAGCAACGCCGCGUGAGUGAAGAAGGUUUUCGGAUCGUAAAGCUCUGUUGUUGGUGAAGAAGGAUAGAGGUAGUAACUGGCCUUUAUUUGACGGUAAUCAACCAGAAAGUCACGGCUAACUACGUG
RNAcentral lists this ribosomal RNA (512 nucleotides) under uncultured bacterium. Its description in RNAcentral is "partial 16S ribosomal RNA". It matches the Rfam family "Bacterial small subunit ribosomal RNA", at positions 28 to 507 of the family's 1533-position model. The record is from RNAcentral.